Molecule: ribosomal RNA, 573 nt
Filed under: Clonostachys sp. Fataf-1
Lineage: Eukaryota; Fungi; Ascomycota; Sordariomycetes; Hypocreales; Bionectriaceae
Description: eukaryotic LSU rRNA
Rfam family: 5.8S ribosomal RNA (bases 188-341)
Source: RNAcentral
UCCGUAGGUGAACCUGCGGAGGGAUCAUUACCGAGUUUACAACUCCCAAACCCAUGUGAACAUACCUACUGUUGCUUCGGCGGGAUUGCCCCGGGCGCCUCGUGUGCCCCGGAUCAGGCGCCCGCCUAGGAAACUCAACUCUUGUUUUAUUUUGGAAUCUUCUGAGUAGUUUUUACAAAUAAAUAAAAACUUUCAACAACGGAUCUCUUGGUUCUGGCAUCGAUGAAGAACGCAGCGAAAUGCGAUAAGUAAUGUGAAUUGCAGAAUUCAGUGAAUCAUCGAAUCUUUGAACGCACAUUGCGCCCGCCAGUAUUCUGGCGGGCAUGCCUGUCUGAGCGUCAUUUCAACCCUCAUGCCCCUAGGGCGUGGUGUUGGGGAUCGGCCAAAGCCCGCGAGGGACGGCCGGCCCCUAAAUCUAGUGGCGGACCCGUCGUGGCCUCCUCUGCGAAGUAGUGAUAUUCCGCAUCGGAGAGCGACGAGCCCCUGCCGUUAAACCCCCAACUUUCCAAGGUUGACCUUCCAGAUCCAAGGUAGGAAUACCCGCUGAACUUAAGCAUAUCAAUAAGCGGAGGA